Non-coding RNA from Paramuricea clavata, 403 nucleotides. The record is from the annotation of a GenBank genome assembly. NCBI's taxonomy places the organism in Eukaryota, Metazoa, Cnidaria, Anthozoa, Malacalcyonacea, Plexauridae.
CACUUGUUUACCAAACGGAAAAUACAGUAGACUAUCAUUGGAAAGAAUAUGAAAACUUGCAACAAACUAGUCAUAUCACGUUAAAAGACAUAUGUUUGUUCUUCCUAAUUGUGUUCUUUUUUAUUUAUUUAUUUUAUUUAUUUAGCUUUGCCAACUAGGGCAGGGUCACCACAACAGCAUAUGCCAAUUACUGUGGGCCCUUUUUUUACCUAACCCACCCUUGUCAACUUUCCCUGUGGGAGGAAACCGGAGUACCCGGGGAAAACCCACGGCUUUCGGCAGAGCGUUGACUUUUACUCUUUUCACAUGGGGACUGGGUUCGAGUCGCACUGAGAAGGUACUUAGUGAGACUCGAACGUGCAGCCUCAGAGGUGAAAGGCAAGUGCGCUAACCACUUGGCCAC